This 551-nucleotide ribosomal RNA is filed under the name Trichosporon japonicum. Its description in RNAcentral is "partial large subunit ribosomal RNA". It matches the Rfam family "Eukaryotic large subunit ribosomal RNA", at positions 112 to 652 of the family's 3401-position model. The record is from RNAcentral. Lineage: Eukaryota; Fungi; Basidiomycota; Tremellomycetes; Trichosporonales; Trichosporonaceae.
AAUUUGAAAUCUGGCAGUCUUCGAUUGUCCGAGUUGUAAUCUAUAGAGGCGUUUUCCGUGCCGGACCGUGUCCAAGUCUCCUGGAAAGGAGUAUCAAAGAGGGUGAUAAUCCCGUACUUAACACGACCACCGGUGCUCUGUGAUACGUCUUCUACGAGUCGAGUUGUUUGGGAAUGCAGCUCAAAAUGGGUGGUGAAUUCCAUCUAAAGCUAAAUAUUGGCGAGAGACCGAUAGCGAACAAGUACCGUGAGGGAAAGAUGAAAAGCACUUUGGAAAGAGAGUUAAACAGUACGUGAAAUUGUUGAAAGGGAAACGAUUGAAGUCAGUCGUGUUCUUUGGAUUCAGCCAGUUCUGCUGGUCUACUUCCUUGGAACGGGUCAACAUCAGUUUUGUCCGGUGGAUAAAGGUAGUAGGAAUGUGACUUCUCCGGAAGUGUUAUAGCCUAUUAUCACAUACACUGGGUGAGACUGAGGACUGCAGCUCGCCUUUAUGGCCGGUCUUCGGACACGUUCGAGCUUAGGAUGUUGACAUAAUGGCUUUAAACGACCCGU